This is a long non-coding RNA of Pipistrellus kuhlii (Kuhl's pipistrelle), 722 nucleotides long. RefSeq lists it as uncharacterized. The transcript is spliced from 3 exons. NCBI's taxonomy places the organism in Eukaryota, Metazoa, Chordata, Mammalia, Chiroptera, Vespertilionidae. The record is from RefSeq and is a predicted model, not a curated record.
UGCCACUUUAACCCAACCCCUGGUCUUGAAGACCCAGUACCCCUCUGUGGACCCCCAAAAGCUCCCCAGCCCUCCCCGGGAGGCUCCCCAACACACGGACAGGACGCAGCUUUUAAAUGAAAAGGAAACUUUAAUUUCGGUGGGGAAUGAGAAGGGUGAGUGGAAGGGGGGCAUGACACUUUUUCUUUUUUGGGGGGUGACAUGCGGCAGCUUCUGCAUCGGGCGGUUCAUGCACCCAGGGUGGGCGUGGGGAGGCCUGGGGGAGGGGCCUGCCGACCCCUCCCUCCCUGCCCUGGGGGCGGGCUUGAGAAGACCCGCCGUUAGCACCAGAGUUGGACGAUUUGCAGACCUCCCCUCCCCACACUGACUGACUCCGGACACCCGCCCCCAUCCCUGAGAGCGCCCCCUGGCCGCCACCCCCUCCCCCUCCCCCCGGACAGGCCAGGCUCGCCCCGCCCACGUCGGAGGGAGAGAAACUUAUUGCUGUGUGUGCCGGGGAGGGGAGCCGCUGAGCCCGGGAGGACCCCGCCGUCCGUCCCUCUCCCCCGCCCCGCCCCCCGCCCCGUGCCCGUGCGUGCCGAGCGCAGGAGGGCGCCACAUGCGAGUGGGGAGCGUCAUGCAGCGCAUGCGUGCAGUUGCGGGCGCCCUGGCGGCGGGGCGGGGCGUGGGAAAGGGGCGGGGCGGGGCGUGGGAAAGGGGGAGGGGCUGGGGAAGCGAGCAGG